UGCGAGUCGAAUGUAGCAAUACAUGGCGAACUGCUCAGUAACACGUGGACAACCUGCCCUUAGGUUGGGUAUAAACCCGGGAAACUGGGUAUAAUACCCGAUAGGUCUCGAUUGCUGGAAUGCAUCGAGAUUUAAAGCUCCGGCGCCUAAGGAUGGGUCUGCGGCCUAUCAGGUAGUAGUGGGUGUAGCGUACCUACUAGCCUACGACGGGUACGGGUUGUGAGAGCAAGAGCCCGGAGAUGGAUUCUGAGACACGAAUCCAGGCCCUACGGGGUGCAGCAGGCGCGAAAACUUUACAAUGCUGGCAACAGCGAUAAGGGAACCUCGAGUGCCAGGUUACAAAUCUGGCUGUCGAGAUGCCUAAAAAGCAUUUCAUAGCAAGGGCCGGGCAAGACCGGUGCCAGCCGCCGCGGUAACACCGGCGGCUCGAGUGGUAACCGUUAUUAUUGGGUCUAAAGGGUCUGUAGCCGGCCGGAUAAGUCUCUUGAGAAAUCUGGCAGCUUAACUGUCAGGCUUUCAGGAGAUACUGUCUGGCUCGAGGCCGGGAGAGGUGAGAGGUACUUCAGGGGUAGGGGUGAAAUCUUGUAAUCCUUGAAGGACCACCAGUGGCGAAGGCGUCUCACCAGAACGGACCUGACGGCAAGGGACGAAAGCUAGGGGCACGAACCGGAUUAGAUACCCGGGUAGUCCUAGCCGUAAACGAUACUCGCUAGGUGUCGGCCACGGUGCGACCGUUGUCGGUGCCGUAGGGAAGCCGUGAAGCGAGCCACCUGGGAAGUACGGCCGCAAGGCUGAAACUUAAA
Molecule: ribosomal RNA, 803 nt
Filed under: uncultured archaeon
Lineage: Archaea
Description: bacterial SSU rRNA
Rfam family: Archaeal small subunit ribosomal RNA
Source: RNAcentral